RNAcentral lists this transfer RNA (72 nucleotides) under Jenufa perforata. Its description in RNAcentral is "tRNA-Ile". It matches the Rfam family "tRNA". Rfam says of the family: Transfer RNA (tRNA) molecules are approximately 80 nucleotides in length. Lineage: Eukaryota; Viridiplantae; Chlorophyta; Chlorophyceae. The record is from RNAcentral.
GGCGAAAUAGCUCAAUGGUAGAGCAUCGGAAUCAUAAUCCGCUUGUUGAGAGUUCAAUUCUCUCUUUCGCUC